GAGGAUCAUUCGCAAUGGGGGAAACCCUGACGAUGCGACGCUGCGUGGAGGAUGAAGGCCUUCGGGUUGUAAACUCCUGUCAUGAGGGAAGAGGAGAGUGUCACUAACAUUGACGCGAUUUGACGGUACCUCAAGAGGAAGCCACGGCUAACUCUGUGCCAGCAGCAGCGGUAAUACAGAGGUGGCGAGCGUUGUUCGGAUUUACUGGGCGUAAAGGGCGCGUAGGCUGCGAUGUGUGUCGGGUGUGAAAUCCCAGGGCCCAACCCUGGAAGUGCGCCCGAAACUGCAUCGCUCGAGUGCGGGAGGGGAGAUCGGAAUACAUGGUGUAGCGGUGAAAUGCGUUGAUAUCAUGUAGAACACCGGUGGCGAAGGCGGAUCUCUGGAACGCAACUGACGCUGAGGCGCGAAAGUCGGGGAGCAAACA
RNAcentral lists this ribosomal RNA (424 nucleotides) under uncultured prokaryote. RNAcentral's name for it is "bacterial SSU rRNA". It matches the Rfam family "Bacterial small subunit ribosomal RNA", at positions 357 to 774 of the family's 1533-position model. The record is from RNAcentral.